AGCUUUGCGAAGAGGCGAUAUCGUAACCAAUGAGGAUUAUCCGAGGUGCGAUUAUUAUUAAUUGAUAUUGAUCAAUUAAACAAUUUAUGCUCAAUCAUUGGUCAAUUUUCUCGCAAUUAUUUGGCCUCUUUUAAUAUUCCGCUUAAAAAAACAAUAGAACCGGA
Molecule: small nuclear RNA, 164 nt
Filed under: Lutzomyia longipalpis
Lineage: Eukaryota; Metazoa; Arthropoda; Insecta; Diptera; Psychodidae
Description: U4 spliceosomal RNA
Rfam family: U4 spliceosomal RNA (bases 1-124)
About the family: U4 small nuclear RNA (U4 snRNA) is a component of the major U2-dependent spliceosome. The structure of U4 snRNA from yeast and human has been reported. U4 snRNA presents a k-turn RNA motif in the 5p-SL related to recognition of Snu13 protein.
Source: RNAcentral